AUUAGGGUUCGAUUCCGGAGAGGGAGCCUGAGAAACGGCUACAAUCUAAGGAAGGCAGCAGGCGCGCAAAUUACCCAAUCCUAAUACAGGGAGGUAGUGACAAGAAAUAACAAUACAGGACUUUUUGGUUUUGUAAUUGGAAUGAGUUAAGUAUAAACCCCUUUACAAGUAUCAAUUGGAGGGCAAGUCUGGUGCCAGCAGCCGCGGUAAUUCCAGCUCCAAUAGCGUAUAUUAAAGUUGUUGCAGUUAAAAAGCUCGUAGUUGGAUUUCUGUUAAUAAUUUAUAUAAAAUAUUUUGAUGAAUAUUUAUAUAAUAUUAACAUAAUUCAUAUUACUAUAUAUUUUAGUAUAUGAAAUUUUACUUUGAGAAAAUUAGAGUGCUUAAAGCAGGCAUAUGCCUUGAAUACUCCAGCAUGGAAUAAUAUUAAAGAUUUUUAUCUUUCUUAUUGGUUCUAAGAUAAGAAUAAUGAUUAAUAGGGACAGUUGGGGGCAUUUGUAUUUAACAGUCAGAGGU
Molecule: ribosomal RNA, 513 nt
Filed under: Cryptosporidium parvum
Lineage: Eukaryota; Apicomplexa; Conoidasida; Eucoccidiorida; Cryptosporidiidae
Description: SSU rRNA
Rfam family: Eukaryotic small subunit ribosomal RNA
Source: RNAcentral